This is a non-coding RNA of Heterocephalus glaber (naked mole-rat), 324 nucleotides long. The record is from Rfam. Lineage: Eukaryota; Metazoa; Chordata; Mammalia; Rodentia; Bathyergidae.
AGAUGUGAGGGUGAUCUGGGCGAGGCAUCUGCCAUCCCAUUGAUGGCCAGGGUUGAUCUGGCUGAUCUGGCUGGCUAGGCAGGAAUCCCCUUCCUCCUUCAGCACUCCAUGUGUGUCCCUCCCAAAUCUGCACACCUGGAUGAAGAGGACAACCACCUCCAAUGGAGGAGGCCCCUAAUGAGUGCUGUUUCUUCUGAUGGGUGAAUGGUGGCUGCAAAUGUAACCCUUUCAAAUCUUCAUGGUUGUAGAGUUAUUCAAGGUUUUUAAUCAGUCCCUGCACUAAUGCAAAUUCUAUUUAAUUCUGAAAUAUCCAGUUAUUUUAAU